CACGUAGUUGGCCGGUGCUUCUUCUGUAGGUACCGUCACUUGCGCUUCGUCCCUACUGAAAGAGGUUUACAACCCGAAGGCCGUCAUCCCUCACGCGGCGUCGCUGCAUCAGGCUUGCGCCCAUUGUGCAAUAUUCCCCACUGCUGCCUCCCGUAGGAGUCUGGGCCGUGUCUCAGUCCCAGUGUGGCCGGUCGCCCUCUCAGGCCGGCUACCCGUCGUCGCCUUGGUAGGCCAUUACCCCACCAACAAGCUGAUAGGCCGCGGGCCCAUCCUGUACCGCAAAAGCUUUCCACCAACUCCCAUGCAGGAGAAGGUCAUAUCCGGUAUUAGACCCAGUUUCCCAGGCUUAUCCCGAAGUACAGGGCAGAUCACCCACGUGUUACUCACCCGUUCGCCACUCGUGUACCCCGAAGGGCCUUACCGUUCGACUUGCAUGUGUUAAGCACGCCGCCAGCGUUCGUCCUGAGCCAGGAUCAAACUCU
This 482-nucleotide ribosomal RNA is filed under the name uncultured Tsukamurella sp. Its description in RNAcentral is "partial 16S ribosomal RNA". Lineage: Bacteria; Bacillati; Actinomycetota; Actinomycetes; Mycobacteriales; Tsukamurellaceae. The record is from RNAcentral.